GACGAACGCUGGCGGCGUGCUUAACACAUGCAAGUCGUACGGUAAGGCCCUUUCGGGGGUACACGAGUGGCGAACGGGUGAGUAACACGUGAGUAACCUGCCCACAACUUUGGGAUAACGCUAGGAAACUGGUGCUAAUACUGGAUAUGUGCUCCUGCUGCAUGGUGGGGGUUGGAAAGCUCCGGCGGUUGUGGAUGGACUCGCGGCCUAUCAGCUUGUUGGUGGGGUAGUGGCCUACCAAGGCGGCGACGGGUAGCCGGCCUGAGAGGGUGACCGGCCACAUUGGGAAUGGGAUACGGCCCAGACUCCUACGGGAGGCAGCAGUGGGGAAUAUUGCACAAUGGGCGCCAGCCUGAUGCAGCAACGCCGCGUGCGGGAUGACGGCCUUCGGGUUGGAAACCGCUUUCAGCAGGGACGAAGCUUUUUGUGACGGUACCUGCAGAAGAAGCACCGGCUAACUACGUG
RNAcentral lists this ribosomal RNA (465 nucleotides) under uncultured bacterium. RNAcentral's name for it is "partial 16S ribosomal RNA". It matches the Rfam family "Bacterial small subunit ribosomal RNA", at positions 28 to 507 of the family's 1533-position model. The record is from RNAcentral.